This 7404-nucleotide long non-coding RNA is filed under the name Salmo salar (Atlantic salmon). Its description in RNAcentral is "lncRNA (ENSSSAG00000092727.1)". Lineage: Eukaryota; Metazoa; Chordata; Actinopteri; Salmoniformes; Salmonidae. The record is from RNAcentral.
AUAGGCUGCAGCAAACUUCCAUUUUCAUGGAAAAUUCAGCAAUAGGUGAGUGAGGAGCACUUAAUUUUCCACGCCUUGUACCAGACCUACUGUGAAAUCCUUUGUUUUCCUGCAAUGAGAUCUCAAUUGAAAUUGUUAGGGGAGAACAAAAAAACUGAAACCAGUGAGGAUUUUUAAAGAAAAUUUUUCAUUUUAAUGGAAACUGAAAUUGUGAACACUGAAUUUCUUUAAUUUAUUACAUUUGUUUGGAAAUUGAGGGAUAUUAUCAUGCAAAAAAAAAAAAAAUGCAUUUGUUAAAUUCAGAAAAUGAAACCAUUUCACACUCUAAAACUUGUAAAUGUCAACUUGUAAAUGCCUCAAAUUCUGAGGGGCAAAUUUCCUAGGAGCCGAUUGAUAAUCCAUCAACAGGCACAGAGAUGACAGAGAGAGAAAGAGUACAAAGAUGGACUUGGCACCACACACAGCUGUUUUCUUCAGACACACAUCUCAAUAUGACCACACCACCUUCCAAAAAGAACAGUAGCACUGUGGAGCCCCAGAAAUAAACACUUUUCCCUUGUCUUUAACAUAAUGUGCGUCUACAAAUAGCUCUCAUGUGCCAAAGAGAGUAAACAAAAUGGCCCCCAUCCCAACCAACCCCUCCCAAAAAAUGUUUUUACAUGGGCAUGGGAGACAGUUCGCUCCAUUUUCGCCUUAAGUCCAGCAUUUCCCAUUACAGACAAUCGAUAACUAGAUGAAGAAGCAGCACUUUCGGUAUUUGUGAUUAUUUCUAUUUACAUGUUUUUUAUUUUAGAUUUGUCCUCACUCAUACCAACAGACUCCCACAGUGGCAUUCAGCUGCUGUGGUUGGCUCAGACAAAGGCUGGCUUAAACCAUCAGUCUUUCCAAUCUAAGAGCAUGGACCAUACAGCGGCUGAAUAUCUGAGUAGUGUACCUUUGGCGAACGCGAAAUAAGAGUUGUCAAACAGUAUAUCAAUCCCCUUUAACACAUGUGAUGAAGAACAUCAGGGACAAAUUCUUUAUAGGAACACUCUGGAUUUCUUUCAGUGCUCAUAUCUCCACCAUUACCAUUUGUUUUCAGACACAAAGAUCAGAACAUUGGGGCUUUAUAUAAAAUUAUGAGAAUUGAGAUUCAAUAAUGAAAUGGUCUUAAAAAAGUAGGUACUUGUUAAGAUAUAAAAAAUUAGACAGCUUAGCCUAAUUCUCCCCAUCAUUUUCCUUUGAAGCAAAAAAAUAGUUCCAUUCUAGUUGUGCAUCUACAAAUAAAUUAAGUGACACAAAAUAAAACAAAAACAGCUUAUUAAACAUACAAAGUUAAUACAUUAAUGCGUUAGAUCAAUUCAAAAGUAAAAUUCUAAAUUGCUCUACUAACUUAACGGACAGACUAUAAUAUACCACCAAGCAGUUUUCAUUAAAAUGCAAGCCCACUGAAAGAUUUUGCACAUCAUUCGAUUUUGAGCUGUGAAAUUUUCCUUCAAAACAUCUAAACACACAUUGCUUUCAGCUUCUUCCAUGUCAGUGAAAGGAAGCAGCAAAGGAAGCUGUAAAAAAUGUUAAACAGCAUUGCAAAUGUAUAUAUAUUUUUUUGCAAAAAAACAUGGCACAAAUCAUUUUCGAAACAAAAAAAAGAAGAUACAAAUCACUGUAAAAGCAUACUUUUCACACAGGCACAUGAACAUGAUCCAAGGGUCUUGAAAAAAGGGGAAACUUGCAUAUAUUUGGAAGAGCUCACUUUUACACACACAUCAAACAGCAGUCCUCCUAUUCAGAACUCGGAGGACUGUGCGAGUAUCCUUGAGGUGAUUGCACAUCCUAAGGGGGAUGAAAAUAGAGACAGAAAUCACUUUCUCGAUUUUCUUUCACCACACAAAGCACAAACGCACUCUUGUAGCAGAGUAUUUCUCAAACCAACUCCUCUAUUAAGAACCAGUUUUUGGUUUACAGGCUACUACACUAUCGUUAAAGUAAUAUAGCUAUAUUCUUUUCUUAAAAUACAAAAAAAUACCCAUUUUACUUAAGUGCUUUAAAAUAUCUAAGGGGGAAAACUUUUGCAUUAUUUCCCUAGAGAUCAAUGAGCCCUCUUAAGAAUCAAAUAAAAGGGGACAUGUCUGGAUAAAAACAAUGAACAUAAUGUACUUAGGACUGUUAGAGCACUUUUACACACCGACUCCAAAAGAGAUUGCCUGCCCGGUUUCACAAAGAAGCAUACUUGUUAUCCCACUCAGCAUAAAAAAAAAUUCAAAAACAUUUUUUAAAAAAGGAGGUUAGGGUUAUGAAAAUGAUAAACUUGUUUUGUUUUUUUACCCCGUGGUAUGAUCUGGGGUUUUCUAUUCCAAUAUUUUGGGGAACCAAGUAAAGUAACAUAAAUUGACUGCAUGAACAUUCAAAGUACAAGUAAAUUUUAUUUUUAAAGAUAUACAUUUUAUUUUUUUGCUGUCAAUGUCACCAUUGCAAACUAUUCAAACUUGGUUGUCCAUCGCAAAAGCAAUUCCCACUGCUGAUCAAGACAAAAUAAAAACAGAAAUUUCGCCAUUGUCCAGCAUUAACCAAAUAAGAUAUUUUGUUCGAUAGGAGUUUCCCCAUCUGAUAACACUUAGUAAAAUACCACAUCCCAGAGGUCUAUCCUUUGAAUUCCACAGCGAAUUAACUUAAAAAGGGCAAUCUCACCACUUCAACCUAAUUUUCAUUAUCUCCAGCACAAUACCAGUGUCUAGAUAUGUGAAAAUGGUGCAUUACUAAAAAUUCUACCUGAUGACAAACAGCAAUUUUUCAAAUGCAAUCAGAUUCACAAUGACGUGGGGAGAAAGAAAAUACCCUCCCUCUGGCUAGAAACUUUUUACAGGUUCUGGAAAAUCAGUUUCUUACUUUUAAAACCUACCCUGUGAUGUCACAGAGAAGCAUUUUUUUAGGACCUUUCUUCUAAACCACAGAAAUGUGCGGUUUUCAUAUGUAGACACUGGUAUGGUGCGGAGAUGAAUGAUGUUGAAAAGUGGCAGAAUUGCCCUUUAAGUGUAUGUGAGACACAGUUUUGUACACAGCAGGGGUAUGUGUGACCUUCUUGUAGUUCCCUCUCAGUCUGCAAGAACAAGCCAUGACGUGACCAGAAAACCCAAGAGGGCUGGACUAGGAAGCACAGACAUAGAUUCCUGCCAUUGCAUAUAACCUGGACUGGGAACACAGAAGUGUUUCAGGUCAUGAAUGACAAAAGAAUCAAGGACAGAAAGAGAUCACCCUGUCCAAUAACAGGUGGAAAACGGUGCAAAUCAGUGUGCUUAAAGUGAAAUUGCCUAAACAGAGAACUUAAAAAGGUUUGAAGCCUACAUAACAUGUAUGACAGCUGCUUGCAAGCUGUGUCAGUGUUUUCUGCAAGCUAAAUAUUUUGGUAUUUUAUCACAGCUCUGUAGUUUUAUUAAAUAUGACUCCAAUUCAAUAUUUUAGCAAUUCAAAUUUGAGCACAAUAUGAGGAUCUUGUUCUGAACCAUUUGGCAGAAAACAAAAUUGUUCCAACUUUGUCAUGGCUUUACCAAUGCUACCUGAGUGACAUUUUGUAUUUAUUCAUUUCUUUUUCUUAAAAAGAACAGCCCAACCAAAGCCAUUCUUAAAAGAAGUUAGUAUGUCAUUAUAUAAAUAUAUAAACACAGUAACAGUCAAAUGUCUGGACACACCUACUCAUUCAAGGGUUUUUCUUUAUUUUCACUAUUUUCUACAUUGUAGAAUAAUAGUGAAGACAUCAAACUAUGAAAUAGCACAUGGAAUCCUGUAGUAACCAAAAAAAGUGUUAAAUCAAUAGAUUUUAGAUUAUUCAAAGUAGCCACCCUUUGCCUUGACAGCUUUGCACACUCUUUGCAUUCUCUCAACCAGCUCCUGAGGUAGUCAUCUGGAAUGCAUUUCAAUUAACAGGUGUGCCUUGUUAAGUUAAUUUGUGGAAUUUCUUUCCUUCUUAAUGUGUUUGAGUCAAUCAGUUGUGUUGUGACAAGGUAGGGGUGGUAUACAGAAGAUGGUCUUUUGCCAAACAAGGCUAAGUCCAUAUUAUGGCAAGAACAGCUCAUUACUUUAAGACAUGAAGGUCAGUCAAUUCGGAAAAUGUCAAGAACUUUGAAAGUUUCAAGUGCAGUCACAAAAACCAUCAAGCGCUAUGAUGAAACUGGAUCUCAUGAGUACCGCCACAGGAAAGAAAGACCCUGAGUUACCUCUGCUGCAGAGGAUAUGUUCAUUAGAGUUAACUGCACCUCCGAUUGCAGCCCAAAUAAAUGCUUCAAAGUUCAAGUAACAGACACAUCUCAUCAUCUGUUCAGAGAAUCAGGCCUUCAUGGUCUAAUUCCUGCAAACAAACCACUACUAAAGGACAUCAAUAAUAAGAAGAGACUUGCUUGGGCCAAGAAACACAAGCAAUGGACAUAAGACCGGUGGAAAUCUGUCCUUUGGUCUGAGGAGUCUAAAUUUGAGAUUUCUGGUUCCAACUGCUGUGUCUUUGUGAGAUGCAGAGUAGGUGAACGGAUGAUCUCUGCAUGUGUGAUUCCCACUGUGAAGCAUGAAGGAGGUGUGAUGGUGCUCUACUGGUGACAGUGUCAGUGAUUUAUUUAGAAUUCAAGGCACACUUAACCAGCAUGGCUACCACAGCAGCGAUACGCAAUCCCAUCUGGUUUGCACUUAGUGGGACUAUCAUUUGUUUUUCAACAAGACAAUGACCCAACACACCUCCAGGCUGUGUAAGGGCUGUUUGACCAAGAAGGCGAGUGUUGGAAUGCUGGCCUCCACAAUCACCCAACCUCAAGCCAAUUGAGAUGGUUUGGGGUGAGUUGGACAGCAGAGUGAAGGAAAAGCAGCCAACAAGUGCUCAGCAUAUGUGGGAACUCAUUCAAGACUGUUGGAAAGGCAUUCCAGGUGAAGUUGGUUGACAGAAUGCCAAGAGUGUGCAAAGCAGUCAUCAAGGCAAAGAGUGGCUACUUUGUUUAACACUUUUUUUGGUUACUUCAUGAUUCCAUAUGUGUUAUUUCACAGUUUUGGAGGUCUUCAUUGUUAUUCUACAAUGUAGAAAACAGUAAAAAUAAAGAAAAACCCUUGAAAGAGUAGGUGUGUCCAAACUUGACUGGUACUGUAUAUCUGUAGUAAUUGAAAGAUUAAAAAAAAAAAGUUAAAUAAAGUGCUAUUAAUCCACACAACCAAAUCAUUUAUGCUAGAGAAAAGAAACUAAUGUCCUUCCUUAGCGCAAAACCAAAAACCCAACUGAGAGGGAGAUGGUAGUACCAAUGACAUCGUGGUUGUCCACUCAUUGUAUUGCCAAAUUUGGCCUGCCUUGACAUGUUUAGGCCUCUUGACACAGUCACUUUGAUCAAAGACUAACUCGAUGAUAAGGUAUUAUGAAACGUCAUCAUCACCAAAUCUCUAUGCACAGUAUAACAAAGAGUGGCUGGUCUGGGACAUGAAAUGAUUAGUAUUGCGAUUGUUUUCUGUCUAAUAUUUGCUUGGUUAUAUUAUACUGCGACUUUUCACAUCUCAUCCACACCAGUAAACACGUGCAAGAAAUACAUUGUCAUAAGAGAGAGAUUAAAGACCAAAUGCUGAAAGGGCAAAUCAAAAGCAAAUUGCUUGAGCAAGAAAAUAGGACAUUUUCCAUUUCUCCACGUGGCGUCAGCAAAUAUAGCUUAGACAGGCCUAAUGAAUUAGACAUUUUGAACCUCCUUACUGAUGAAAUACACCAAACAAAAAAAACUAUUUUUUUGAAAUAUCACAUACAUAGAUAGCCCUUGCUCCACUGUCACUUUUCUCAUCUUCCCGAAAACUCCCACAAUCAAGUGAAAAGCUCAAGAGAACCUACAACUAAAAUUAAGGAAUAGCCUACAUCAAUCUUAAUCUGAAAUUAAUUCAUGAAAUAUGUAGACUUAAAACAGCGAGGGUUAAGAAGAAAUAAAAGUACAAAUAAAGCUAAACUCAGAUGAAGACAAUUAAUGCCAAAACAUUUUUACUGAUUAGCACGGCUACCUAAAACUGACAACCGAACCACGAGAUUAUGACAUGGCUUUAGUUUCAUUCUGAUUUGACACGUCUCUAUCUGUUCUCUGGGAGUUUGUUGCUACUGUAGAUCACACCUGAAAUCGCUAAACCAUACAAAACAAAGUAAAAUAGUUGUCAAAACUGAUACCAAGCAGUCAGGUCUUUGCUGGGCAUAGUUAUUUCACUAAAGUAAUUAAGACAAAUGCGUUCCCUCAACAUAUACAUUUCUCAUUUAACCUGCAGCCUAACAGGACUAUCAAUACUACCAGCCUUCUCAUAAUCUUCACAUUUUGUAAAUUUCAAGGCAUUCUUAGAAUUUAUAGUUCAUUUUCUUUUAAAAUGUAUUCAAAUGUGCACAUAUACUGAUGUGUAUGCAUAAAUCAUAACACAUACACAAAUCUACAUAUAUUGGACUAAUUUGAAUGCAUGAGGAACUAAAACAAUUGAGGCAUCCUACUGUCAGACAGUCACCACAGUUCAAUGGGCAAGAGGAUAAAGGCUUGGGAGGUGCAGUUUGCGCCUUCCUCAGUCUUAUGUCCCCAACACCCAGAGGAAGGAUCUACGAGACCAACACCUAUUACAGCAGAAAGUGUCACAAGUGUCCAUUCACAUGGGAGAGGCACCCAAAAUUUCUUUCAAGUGUUUGAGUCUGUGUGUAAUCCAGAGCAUCAGCCGAAGCUCCUGCGCUCAACUUAAUGCCAAUAAUUGGAUUAAUAUUUACUCAUAUUACACCUCCCCUUGUCAACUUCCUCUUCUCCGAUGCACCCCCCAAAAACAAAUCCCAUUACCCCAUUCUGUAUUCCAAUAAAAGUAUGUCACAGGACACACAUCUUUCUGUCCCAAUAUCACAGUUGACUCGAUUUUGUUUUCCAAAGGGAUCAUAACCGCCAAAGACAUCUGCAGCACCCAGGUAGGGAGAAGGUACAGGUAAUUGUUGACAUUCACUACCUCACUGAUCAGGUCCAUCCUUGGUCUUGUCAUAACAGACUACUCUUUUUGGAUCUGGGGGGGGAGAAGGACAGAAAUUGAGUGUGUAGGCCCUGGGGAACUUAGUUAACGCAUAAUGCAUGUUAUUCAAACUUCAGCUGUACACCUUUGAACAUCGAAUAGAAAACCCAACAUCACAACUUAAAAAAUACACUACACAGAAGAGACCUUUUAAUUUACCUUGUUUUUGCAAAUUGAAAACAUAUUCCAUUUCUGUAGAGAAAAAAAAAACAGAUUGAUUAUCAUCUCCAGAUGCAUAAGACAAUUUUAUUAUUAGACACAUUGUCUUUAAUGUGAAGCUAAUGGAUUUAAAGCUUUUGGUGCAAGUGAAAUAGUUGGUUAACGCUACUAAUGUGUAAUACAUAUUAGAGGUCGACCAAUUAAUCGGCAUGGCCGAUUAAAUAGGGCCAAUUUCAAGUUUUC